AGAGUUUGAUCAUGGCUCAGGACGAACGCUGUCGGCGUGCCUAAUACAUGCAAGUCGAGCGGACUUUUGGGAGCUUACUCCCAAAAGUUAGCGGCGGACGGGUGAGUAACACGUGGGCAACCUGCCUAUAAGACUGGGAUAACUUCGGGAAACCGGAGCUAAUACCGGAUAAUUCCUUUCCUCUCAUGAGGGAAGGUUGAAAGACGGUUUCGGCUGUCACUUAUAGAUGGGCCCGCGGCGCAUUAGCUAGUUGGUGAGGUAACGGCUCACCAAGGCGACGAUGCGUAGCCGACCUGAGAGGGUGAUCGGCCACACUGGGACUGAGACACGGCCCAGACUCCUACGGGAGGCAGCAGUAGGGAAUCUUCCGCAAUGGACGAAAGUCUGACGGAGCAACGCCGCGUGAGUGAUGAAGGUUUUCGGAUCGUAAAACUCUGUUGUUAGGGAAGAACAAUUACGAGAGUAACUGCUCGUACCUUGACGGUACCUAACCAGAAAGCCACGGCUAACUACGUGCCAGCAGCCGCGGUAAUACGUAGGUGGCAAGCGUUGUCCGGAAUUAUUGGGCGUAAAGCGCGCGCAG
Molecule: ribosomal RNA, 583 nt
Filed under: uncultured Bacillus sp.
Lineage: Bacteria; Bacillati; Bacillota; Bacilli; Caryophanales; Bacillaceae
Description: bacterial SSU rRNA
Rfam family: Bacterial small subunit ribosomal RNA
Source: RNAcentral